AACAGCAGCAGCAGCAGCAGCAACAGCAGCCGCAAUGGCAGUUGCAACAAGAGCAACAGCCUCCGGUAUGUCUACAAAGUUGAGUUGCAAUUUUAGUUUUCUCCUGCUGCUGUCGGAGGCUGGCACUGCCUCUGCUGUUGCUGCUGAUGCUGCUGCUGUU
This 160-nucleotide small RNA is filed under the name Drosophila guanche. The record is from RNAcentral. Lineage: Eukaryota; Metazoa; Arthropoda; Insecta; Diptera; Drosophilidae.